GGGAUUUAGCUCAGUGCACAGUGCUUGCCUGGCAAGCAUGAGGUCCUGGGUUUGAACCCCAGUUCCCA
RNAcentral lists this transfer RNA (68 nucleotides) under Fukomys damarensis (Damara mole-rat). It matches the Rfam family "tRNA". Rfam says of the family: Transfer RNA (tRNA) molecules are approximately 80 nucleotides in length. Lineage: Eukaryota; Metazoa; Chordata; Mammalia; Rodentia; Bathyergidae. The record is from Rfam by way of RNAcentral.